UUUACUAAUUGAUGAAUCUGUUUCAGGUGACACGAUAGCUCUGUGCGGACUGCAAUGCGUUCUUCGCCCUCACAAAUUCUACUUUGUAAGUUACUUUCUUAUAAUAGAGUCAAGAUUUUACUUUAUGAAGAUUUGAUAUAAUAGUAAUUGAUGGUUCUCUUUCAGGUGAGACGAUAGCUCUGUGCGAGCUACAGUGCGAUCUACGCGCUCUAAAAUCCUACUUUGUAAGUUACUUUCUUUAAUAAAGUGAAAAUUUUACUUAUUGUAAAUUUGAUAUUUUACUAAUUGAUGGUUCUCUUUAAGGCGAGAAGAUAGCUCUGUGCGAGCUACAAUGCAAACUACGCACUCACAAAUACUUUUUUGUAAGUUACUGUCUUUUAUUACAGUGAAAAUUUUACUUUUUGUAGUUUUGAUGUUUUACUAAUUGAUUCUUCUCUUUCAGGUGUAACGUUAGCUCUGAGCGGGCUACAUUGUGAUCUACACAAAUUCUACUUUGUAAGUUACUUUAUUUUAAUAAACUGAAAUUCUUAUUUUUUUAUAUUUGAUAUUUUACUAAUUGAUGCAUCUCUUUCAGGUGAGACGUUGGCUCUGUACGAGCUACCACGCGAUCUACGCCAUCAAAAAUUCUACUUUGUUAGUUACUUUCUUUUAAUACACUGAUAAUUUUAGUUUUUGUAGAUUUGAUAUUUUACUAAUUGAUGAUUCUCUUUCUGGUGAGACGUUAGCUCUGUGCGGGCUACAUUGUGAUCUACGCCCUCGCCAAUUCUACUUUGUAAGUUACUUUCUUUU
Molecule: unclassified non-coding RNA, 789 nt
Filed under: Melitaea cinxia (Glanville fritillary)
Lineage: Eukaryota; Metazoa; Arthropoda; Insecta; Lepidoptera; Nymphalidae
Description: misc RNA ENSMCXG00005005660.1
Source: RNAcentral